Molecule: ribosomal RNA, 253 nt
Filed under: uncultured bacterium
Lineage: Bacteria
Description: partial 16S ribosomal RNA
Rfam family: Bacterial small subunit ribosomal RNA
Source: RNAcentral
UACGUAGGGUGCAAGCGUUAAUCGGAAUUACUGGGCGUAAAGCGUGCGCAGGCGGUUAUGUAAGACAGGUGUGAAAUCCCCGGGCUUAACCUGGGGACUGCAUUUGUGACUGCAUAGCUAGAGUACGGUAGAGGGGGAUGGAAUUCCGCGUGUAGCAGUGAAAUGCGUAGAUAUGCGGAGGAACACCGAUGGCGAAGGCAAUCCCCUGGACCUGUACUGACGCUCAUGCACGAAAGCGUGGGGAGCAAACAGG